GUUGGGAUUGAUUUUGGGAGUUUUGGUUCCAACAGUUUAGGAAUUAAGGGCCAAAAAAGGGCCAAAUAAGCCAUUAUUCUUGGUUUCGCACAUAACUUUAGUAUAAGUAAAUAGAAAUUGAUGAAAUUUUAACACAAGGUUUAUGACCACAAAAGGAAGGUUGGGAUUGAUUUUUGGAGUUGAGGUCACAACAGUUUAUGAAUUAGGGGCCAAAAAGGGGCCCAAAUAAGCAUUAUUUUUGGUUUUUGCACCAUAACUUUAGUAUAAGUAAAUAGAAAUCUAUGAAAUUUAAACACAAGGUUUAUGACCAUAAAAGGAAGGUUGGGUUUGAUUUGGG
Molecule: long non-coding RNA, 337 nt
Filed under: Mytilus galloprovincialis (Mediterranean mussel)
Lineage: Eukaryota; Metazoa; Mollusca; Bivalvia; Mytilida; Mytilidae
Source: RNAcentral